GACGAACGCUGGCGGCGUGCCUAACACAUGCAAGUUGAGCGACGAACCAGGGCUUGCCCUGGGGCAAAGCAGCGAACGGGUGAGUAACACGUGGGUAACCUACCCCGAUAACCGGGACAACCCGAGGAAACUCGGGCUAAUACCGGAUGUGCUCACUGGACUUCGGUUCAGUGCGUAAAGGAAGCUUCGGCCUCCGUAUCGGGAGGGGCCCGCGGCCCAUUAGUUUGUUGGUUAGGUAACGGCUCACCAAGACCGCGAUGGGUAGCUGGUCUGAGAGGACGAUCAGCCACACUGGGACUGAGACACGGCCCAGACUCCUACGGGAGGCAGCAGUGGGGAAUCUUGCGCAAUGCGCGAAAGCGUGACGCAGCAACGCCGCGUGGGGGAAGAAGGCCUUCGGGUUGUAAACCCCUUUCAGGAGGGACGAAGGUUCGGCGGUGAAUAGCCGUCCGGACUGACGGUACCUCCACAAGAAGCCCCGGCUAACUACGUG
RNAcentral lists this ribosomal RNA (493 nucleotides) under uncultured bacterium. Its description in RNAcentral is "partial 16S ribosomal RNA". It matches the Rfam family "Bacterial small subunit ribosomal RNA", at positions 28 to 507 of the family's 1533-position model. The record is from RNAcentral.